RNAcentral lists this ribosomal RNA (382 nucleotides) under uncultured organism. Its description in RNAcentral is "bacterial SSU rRNA". It matches the Rfam family "Bacterial small subunit ribosomal RNA", at positions 367 to 762 of the family's 1533-position model. The record is from RNAcentral.
CGCAAUGGGCGAAAGUCUGACGGAGCGACGCCGCGUGGUUGAUGAAGUGCUUAGGCAUGUAAAAACCUUUUAUGAGGGAAAAAGUUUAUUGAUUGUACCUCAUGAAUAAGGGGUUGCUAAACUCGUGCCAGCAGCAGCGGUAAUACGAGUGCCCCGAGCGUUAUCCGGAAUUAUUGGGCGUAAAGGGUGCGUAGGUGGUGGUAUUAGUCUAGCGUUAAAUCCUUCGGCUUAACCGAAGAAUCGCGCAGGAAACGGUACCACUAGAGAAUGUGAGAGGUGUGUAGAACUCAUGGAGUAGGGGUGAAAUCCGUUGAUAUCAUGGGGAAUACCAAAAGCGAAGGCAGCACACUGGCACAUUUCUGACACUGAAGCACGAAAGCGU